Molecule: ribosomal RNA, 380 nt
Filed under: uncultured eukaryote
Lineage: Eukaryota
Description: partial 18S ribosomal RNA
Rfam family: Eukaryotic small subunit ribosomal RNA
Source: RNAcentral
CAAUAGCGUAUAUUAAAGUUGUUGCGGUUAAAAAGUUCGUAGUUGGAUUUCUGCCAAGGACGACCGGUCCGCCCUCUGGGUGAGUAUCUGGCUUGGCCUGGGCAUCUUCUUGGAGAACGUUGCUGCACUUCGCUGUGUGGCGCGGUAUCCAGGACCUUUACUUUGAGGAAAUUAGAGUGUUUCAAGCGGGCUUUCGCCUUGAAUACAUUAGCAUGGAAUAAUAAGAUAGGACCUCGGUUCAUUUUUUGUUGGUUGCUAGAGCCGGGGUAAUGAUUAAUAGGGAUAGUUGGGGGCAUUCGUAUUUAACUGUCAGAGGUGAAAUUCUUGGAUUUGUUAAAGACGGACUAGUGCGAAAGCAUUUGCCAAGGAUGUUUNUAUUG